This 303-nucleotide ribosomal RNA is filed under the name uncultured Candidatus Saccharibacteria bacterium. Its description in RNAcentral is "bacterial SSU rRNA". It matches the Rfam family "Bacterial small subunit ribosomal RNA", at positions 28 to 351 of the family's 1533-position model. Lineage: Bacteria; Candidatus Saccharimonadota. The record is from RNAcentral.
GAUGAACGCUGGCGGCGUGCCUAAUACAUGCAAGUCGAGCGGUAAGGCCCUUCGGGGUACACGAGCGGCGGACGGCUGAGUAACGCGUAGGAACGUACCCCAAACUGAGGGAUAAGCACCGGAAACGGUGUCUAAUACCGCAUGUGAUCUUCGGAUUAAAGCUUCGGCGGUUUGGGAACGGCCUGCGUAUGAUUAGCUUGUUGGUGAGGUAAUGGCUCACCAAGGCGACGAUCAUUAGCUGGUCUGAGAGGAUGAUCAGCCAGACUGGGACUGAGACACGGCCCAGACUCCUACGGGAGGCUG